RNAcentral lists this long non-coding RNA (1676 nucleotides) under Capra hircus (goat). RNAcentral describes it as "lncRNA (ENSCHIG00010003747.1)". The record is from RNAcentral. Lineage: Eukaryota; Metazoa; Chordata; Mammalia; Artiodactyla; Bovidae.
AAAAAAGUUCUAGCACAUGAGCCAUCUACUUAAAAGUGAAGCAUUGGCUCUACGUCAUGUUUCAUGAUGGUGGACAGCUGGCAUCUGCACUGUGAGGGCUCCAUUAAUGUGGAACUUACUUCCUUUCUUCACUUAAACCUGAGACUCUUGUCAGACUGUAUCUUAGGCUUCUCUUGUGGUUUUCCUUUAAAUUACUUUGUUUUCUUAACAUUCCAAGUUUUGAUGAAAAUCUAAUUUAAAUUUCUUUGCUUGUUUGUGCUGUGAAUGAUUACUGAAGGGCGUACAGGUAUGUGGGACAGGGUUUCUAUAAUUUCCUAAAGGGAAGAUUUCUUGAUCAGCAGUGCCGCCUUUGAAAAUAAGCUUGAGAGUUGCUUCCCUAAUUCUUAGAUAAGGGCAUGAUAUCACAGAGAUACUUAACUAUUCUUAACAUCCACGUUUUGCUCAUCAGUGAAAGAGAACAUGGGAUACCACAUGUGAGUAGAGCAAGGCAAAAUUAAAUAGAAGAAAACAGUGGCUGGAUAGAGAAAGAAAAUAGAAGGGGAAUCAAGUGUUUUCAAUAAUAACUCAUUGUAAUCCACAUUCAUCCCUGAGGCAAGUUUCACAUAGUCUAAGAAAAAAUUAACCUGGUGGGUAAAUAAACAUACAUACUACAAGCACUGACUUCCACAGAUUUUUGUCAUCAAGGACAAUGAGAGAAGUUGGCCAUAUCCGCACAUCAGACUUCCAAAUCCAGAAACAUCAAAUGUCGAUCACAAAAAGAAGCAUGCUGUUUGAUCCUUCGUUACUGGUAUUCCUUUGCCAAUUCUACCACUUUCCUUAAUAGCUGAAUAGGUAGGUGGUGGCUGCCUUAGGUGUUUUUUCAAAUGCAGUUUCUAACAGUAAACUGCAUAAUAUGAAGUUCCCCAGUGGGUCUGUCUCACUAGUGAACUUGAUUGGCUCAGUUUGUUCAAACACCCAACUGAGGAAUCCAAAGACUUGUGUUUAAGUCCCCAGUGGGAAAAUGUGUUAAGAUGAUAGAGGUCUUUCCUCACGGAACAUAGUGGUCAGUAUGUCUUGAAAGAAAUAGAUUAUCAUUCCUCUGCUUUAAGGAAAAAACACUCUAAGAAUUCUGUUUUAUUGACACAGGAAUGAAGCAAGACUAUACAUGAAGUUCAGCUAAACUAAUACUUUAAAAGAUGGAAUUUUACAUUGAUUAGUUCUUCUCUACUAAUCAUUUCAAGGAGCUUCCCUGGUGGCUCAGAUGGUAAAGAAUCUGCCCGCCAUGCAGCUGACCCAGGCUUGACCCUUAGGUUGGGAAGGUCCCCUGGAGAAGGAAAUGGCUACCCACUCCAGUAUUCUGGCCUGGAGAAUUCCAUGGGCAGAGGGCUAUAGUCCAUGGCAUCACAAAGAAUUGGAUGAUUGAGCGACUAACACUUUCACUUUUCAAUCAUGUCAGUGUUCUUGGACAUUUCAUCACAUUUAAUAAUUUCCCAUUAAGAAUGUAGUCUUGGGCAAGCCUCAGUGUCUCAUAUCACUAAAGAAAAAUACAUUUGUUCACACCAGCCACAUUCAGGAUUCACAUACAUUUGCAUGAGGAACAUAUAGAAAAUCAAUCCAUGAAGGGGUAAUGUUCUGUACAAUACUUUUUUCAUUAAUUCUCUUGUAUGAUCAUUCUUGACGCCCCCACUUUAGCUGCU